RNAcentral lists this non-coding RNA (446 nucleotides) under Trichobilharzia regenti. RNAcentral describes it as "Eukaryotic large subunit ribosomal RNA". It matches the Rfam family "Eukaryotic large subunit ribosomal RNA", at positions 3007 to 3399 of the family's 3401-position model. The record is from Rfam by way of RNAcentral. Lineage: Eukaryota; Metazoa; Platyhelminthes; Trematoda; Strigeidida; Schistosomatidae.
AUCCUUCCUGUUGUUAUUCUGUUUAGUAUGACAGGGACCGCAUGUUCAGACAAUCGCUAUACGUGCUCAGUUGACAGACCGAUGAUGCUAAGCGACCAUCUGAUGGACUAAGUCUGAUCGCCUCUAAGUCUGUAAUCACGACCAUACUUGCAAGGGUAUAUCCCCUAUCCGUCAUGUGGCUGGACAAGCUUACGUAUUCCUUUUGACGUCUUGAUUGGAAGAUUUGUUAAACUAGGCCUAUCGGGUCUGGUGUUGUGACAGAUCGAUGAGCAUAAACUAUGUGUUGGAUCUUGGGAUGUAGGGGUCGACACAGUAUCUAAUUGUCGUAUGAGCUUAAGGAUUCUAAGGUGUUUCCAGACAACUUAGUGUUUUGUCCGGAAGACGUCAGUGCUUGAGUGGCAAUCACACUAUGAGCCAUUGAGUCCUAUCCCUGCUUGACGUAACUU